RNAcentral lists this transfer RNA (63 nucleotides) under Ictidomys tridecemlineatus (thirteen-lined ground squirrel). Its description in RNAcentral is "Spermophilus tridecemlineatus (thirteen-lined ground squirrel) tRNA". It matches the Rfam family "tRNA", at positions 5 to 66 of the family's 71-position model. Rfam says of the family: Transfer RNA (tRNA) molecules are approximately 80 nucleotides in length. Their secondary structure includes four short double-helical elements and three loops (D, anti-codon, and T loops). Lineage: Eukaryota; Metazoa; Chordata; Mammalia; Rodentia; Sciuridae. The record is from Rfam by way of RNAcentral.
GUGUCACUUAGUGGUAGAGUGCUUGCUUUGCAAGAGCAAGGCUCUAGGUUCAAUUCCCAGCAC